RNAcentral lists this ribosomal RNA (377 nucleotides) under uncultured bacterium. RNAcentral describes it as "partial 16S ribosomal RNA". It matches the Rfam family "Bacterial small subunit ribosomal RNA", at positions 355 to 749 of the family's 1533-position model. The record is from RNAcentral.
UGGGGAAUAUUGGACAAUGGGCGCAAGCCUGAUCCAGCCAUGCCGCGUGAGUGAUGAAGGCCCUAGGGUUGUAAAGCUCUUUCACCGGUGAAGAUAAUGACGGUAACCGGAGAAGAAGCCCCGGCUAACUUCGUGCCAGCAGCCGCGGUAAUACGAAGGGGGCUAGCGUUGUUCGGAUUUACUGGGCGUAAAGCGCACGUAGGCGGACUUUUAAGUCAGGGGUGAAAUCCCGGGGCUCAACCCCGGAACUGCCUUUGAUACUGGAAGUCUUGAGUAUGGUAGAGGUGAGUGGAAUUCCGAGUGNAGAGGUGAAAUUCGUAGAUAUUCGGAGGAACACCAGUGGCGAAGGCGGCUCACUGGACCAUUACUGACGCUGA